Molecule: ribosomal RNA, 568 nt
Filed under: uncultured archaeon
Lineage: Archaea
Description: bacterial SSU rRNA
Rfam family: Archaeal small subunit ribosomal RNA
Source: RNAcentral
CCGCGAUUCGCCCUUCGGGGUGCAGCAGGCGCGAAAACUUUACAAUGCGGGAAACCGUGAUAAGGGGACACCGAGUGCCAGCAUUAUAUGCUGGCUGUCCGGGUGUGUAAAAUACACCCGUUAGCAAGGGCCGGGCAAGACCGGUGCCAGCCGCCGCGGUAACACCGGCGGCCCGAGUGGUGAUCGUGAUUAUUGGGUCUAAAGGGUCCGUAGCCGGUUUGGUCAGUCCUCCGGGAAAUCUGACGGCUCAACCGUUAGGCUUUCGGGGGAUACUGCCAGGCUUGGAACCGGGAGAGGUAAGAGGUACUACAGGGGUAGGAGUGAAAUCUUGUAAUCCCUGUGAGACCACCUGUGGCGAAGGCGUCUUACCAGAACGGGUUCGACGGUGAGGGACGAAAGCUGGGGGCACGAACCGGAUUAGAUACCCGGGUAGUCCCAGCCGUAAACGAUGCUCGCUAGGUGUCAGGCAUGGCGCGACCGUGUCUGGUGCCGCAGGGAAGCCGUGAAGCGAGCCACCUGGGAAGUACGGCCGCAAGGCUGAAACUUAAAGGAAUUGGCGGGGGAGCAC